RNAcentral lists this ribosomal RNA (843 nucleotides) under uncultured Grimontia sp. Its description in RNAcentral is "bacterial SSU rRNA". It matches the Rfam family "Bacterial small subunit ribosomal RNA", at positions 559 to 1401 of the family's 1533-position model. Lineage: Bacteria; Pseudomonadati; Pseudomonadota; Gammaproteobacteria; Vibrionales; Vibrionaceae. The record is from RNAcentral.
CGUAAAGCGCAUGCAGGCGGUCUGUUAAGUCAGAUGUGAAAGCCCCGGGCUUAACCUGGGAGUGGCAUUUGAGACUGGCAGGCUAGAGUCUUGUAGAGGGGGGUAGAAUUCCAGGUGUAGCGGUGAAAUGCGUAGAGAUCUGGAGGAAUAUCGGUGGCGAAGGCGGCCCCCUGGACAAAGACCGACGCUCAGAUGCGAAAGCGUGGGUAGCAAACAGGAUUAGAUACCCUGGUAGUCCACGCCGUAAACGAUGUCUACUUGAAGGUUGGGAUCUUGAAUUCUGGCCUUCGGAGCUAACGCGUUAAGUAGACCGCCUGGGGAGUACGGUCGCAAGAUUAAAACUCAAAUGAAUUGACGGGGGCCCGCACAAGCGGUGGAGCAUGUGGUUUAAUUCGAUGCAACGCGAAGAGCCUUACCUNNNCNUGACAUCCAGAGAAGCCAGCAGAGAUGCAGGUGUGCCUUCGGGAANUNUGAGACAGGUGCUGCAUGGCUGUCGUCAGCUCGUGUUGUGAAAUGUUGGGUUAAGUCCCGCAACGAGCGCAACCCUUAUCCUUGUUUGCCAGCACGUAAUGGUGGGAACUCCAGGGAGACUGCCGGUGAUAAACCGGAGGAAGGUGGGGACGACGUCAAGUCAUCAUGGCCCUUACGAGUAGGGCUACACACGUGCUACAAUGGUGCAUACAGAGGGAAGCAAGAGCGCGAGCUGGAGCGGAUCCCAAAAAGUGCAUCGUAGUCCGGAUUGGAGUCUGCAACUCGACUCCAUGAAGUCGGAAUCGCUAGUAAUCGUGGAUCAGAAUGCCACGGUGAAUACGUUCCCGGGCCUUGUACACACCGCCCGUCAUC